This 391-nucleotide ribosomal RNA is filed under the name uncultured bacterium. Its description in RNAcentral is "bacterial SSU rRNA". It matches the Rfam family "Bacterial small subunit ribosomal RNA", at positions 29 to 419 of the family's 1533-position model. The record is from RNAcentral.
AUUGAACGCUGGCGGAAUGCUUUACACAUGCAAGUCGAGCGGCAGCGCGGGGGCAACCCUGGCGGCGAGCGGCGAACGGGUGAGUAAUACAUCGGAACGUGUCCUUAAGUGGGGGAUAGCUCGGCGAAAGCCGGAUUAAUACCGCAUAAGCUCUGAGGAGGAAAGCGGGGGCUCCGUAAGGACCUCGCGCUGUUGGAGCGGCCGAUGUCGGAUUAGCUAGUUGGUGGGGUAAAGGCCCACCAAGGCGACGAUCCGUAGCUGGUCUGAGAGGAUGAUCAGCCACACUGGAACUGAGACACGGUCCAGACUCCUACGGGAGGCAGCAGUGGGGAAUUUUGGACAAUGGGGGCAACCCUGAUCCAGCAAUGCCGCGUGAGUGAUGAAGGCCUUC